Molecule: ribosomal RNA, 253 nt
Filed under: uncultured bacterium
Lineage: Bacteria
Description: partial 16S ribosomal RNA
Rfam family: Bacterial small subunit ribosomal RNA
Source: RNAcentral
UACAGAGGGUGCAAGCGUUGUUCGGAAUUACUGGGCGUAAAGCGUGCGCAGGCGGUUUGGUAAGACAGAUGUGAAAUCCCCGGGCUUAACCUGGGAAUUGCAUUUGUGACUGCCCGGCUAGAGUGUGUCAGAGGGGGGUAGAAUUCCACGUGUAGCAGUGAAAUGCGUAGAUAUGUGGAGGAAUACCGAUGGCGAAGGCAGCCCCCUGGGAUAACACUGACGCUCAUGCACGAAAGCGUGGGGAGCAAACAGG